GACGAACGCUGGCGGCGUGCUUAACACAUGCAAGUCGAACGGAAAGGCCCUGCUUUUGUGGGGUGCUCGAGUGGCGAACGGGUGAGUAACACGUGAGUAACCUGCCCUUGACUUUGGGAUAACUUCAGGAAACUGGGGCUAAUAACGGAUAGGAGCUCCUGCUGCAUGGUGGGGGUUGGAAAGUUUCGGCGGUUGGGGAUGGACUCGCGGCUUAUCAGCUUGUUGGUGGGGUAGUGGCUUACCAAGGCUUUGACGGGUAGCCGGCCUGAGAGGGUGACCGGCCACAUUGGGCCUGAGAUACGGCCCAGACUCCUACGGGAGACAGCAGUGGGGAAUAUUGCACAAUGGGCGGAAGCCUGAUGCAGCAACGCCGCGUGCGGGAUGACGGCCUUCGGGUUGUAAACCGCUUUCGCCUGUGACGAAGCGUGAGUGACGGUAAUGGGUAAAGAAGCACCGGCUAACUACGUG
This 468-nucleotide ribosomal RNA is filed under the name uncultured bacterium. RNAcentral describes it as "partial 16S ribosomal RNA". It matches the Rfam family "Bacterial small subunit ribosomal RNA", at positions 28 to 507 of the family's 1533-position model. The record is from RNAcentral.